GACGAACGCUGGCGGCGUGCUUAACACAUGCAAGUCGAACGGAAAGGCCCUGCUUUUGUGGGGUGCUCGAGUGGCGAACGGGUGAGUAACACGUGAGUAACCUGCCCUUGACUUUGGGAUAACUUCAGGAAACUGGGGCUAAUACCGGAUAGGAGCUCCUGCUGCAUGGUGGGGGUUGGAAAGUUUCGGCGGUUGGGGAUGGACUCGCGGCUUAUCAGCUUGUUGGUGGGGUAGUGGCUUACCAAGGCUUUGACGGGUAGCCGGCCUGAGAGGGUGACCGGCCACAUUGGGACUGAGAUACGGACCAGACUCCUACGGUAGGCAACAGUGGGGAAUAUUGCACAAUGGGCGGAAGCCUGAUGCAGCAACGCCGCGUGCGGGAUGACGGCCUUCGGGUUGUAAACCGCUUUCGCCUGUGACGAAGCGUGAGUGACGGUAAUGGGUAAAGAAGCACCGGCUAACUACGUG
Molecule: ribosomal RNA, 468 nt
Filed under: uncultured bacterium
Lineage: Bacteria
Description: partial 16S ribosomal RNA
Rfam family: Bacterial small subunit ribosomal RNA
Source: RNAcentral